ACAACAGUUGGAAACGACUGCUAAUACCGCAUAAGCCCACGGAUCCGCAUGGAUCUGCGGGAAAAGGAUUUAUUCGCUCUAGGAUGGACUCGCGUCCAAUUAGCUAGUUGGUGAGGUAACGGCCCACCAAGGCGACGAUUGGUAGCCGGACUGAGAGGUUGAACGGCCACAUUGGGACUGAGACACGGCCCAGACUCCUACGGGAGGCAGCAGUGGGGGAUAUUGCACAAUGGGGGAAACCCUGAUGCAGCGACGCCGCGUGGAGGAAGAAGGUUUUCGGAUUGUAAACUCCUGUCGUUAGGGACGAUAAUGACGGUACCUAACAAGAAAGCACCGGCUAACUACGUGCCAGCAGCCGCGGUAAAACGUAGGGUGCAAGCGUUGUCCGGAAUUACUGGGUGUAAAGGGAGCGCAGGCGGACCGGCAAGUUGGAAGUGAAAACUAUGGGCUCAACCCAUAAAUUGCUUUCAAAACUGCUGGCCUUGAGUAGUGCAGAGGUAGGUGGAAUUCCCGGUGUAGCGGUGGAAUGCGUAGAUAUCGGGAGGAACACCGGUGGCGAAGGCGACCUACUGGGCACCAACUGACGCUGAGGCUCGAAAGCAUGGGUAGCAAACAGGAUUAGAUACCCUGGUAGUCCAUGCCGUAAACGAUGAUUACUAGGUGUUGGAGGAUUGACCCCUUCAGUGCCG
RNAcentral lists this ribosomal RNA (689 nucleotides) under uncultured bacterium. RNAcentral describes it as "bacterial SSU rRNA". It matches the Rfam family "Bacterial small subunit ribosomal RNA", at positions 143 to 848 of the family's 1533-position model. The record is from RNAcentral.